This 86-nucleotide signal recognition particle RNA is filed under the name Fundicoccus ignavus. RNAcentral describes it as "Bacterial small signal recognition particle RNA". It matches the Rfam family "Bacterial small signal recognition particle RNA". From Rfam's summary of the family: The signal recognition particle (SRP) is a universally conserved ribonucleoprotein involved in the co-translational targeting of proteins to membranes. The record is from Rfam by way of RNAcentral. Lineage: Bacteria; Bacillati; Bacillota; Bacilli; Lactobacillales; Aerococcaceae.
AUUAAUUGGCAAUGGUAGAGUCACGAACUGAGUCAGGACCGGAAGGUAGCAGCUAUAAGUGACGACACCAUGUGCCAUUUUUUUUG